AAAUUAGUGUACAAUUUUCUUAUCAUGAAAAACUUCUCAUUUUUAGAAAAACAAACUGUGGUAUAUCCAGACAAUGAAAUAUCAUUCGGCACCCAAUAGAAAUGACCUAUUAUGCCUUGAAACAACACGGAGGACCCUUAAAUGCAUGUGCUAAGUGAAAGAAGCCAGUCCGAAAACACUGUAUGACUCCAACUGUAUACAUUCCGAAAAAGGCAAAAUUGUAGAGAUGAUAAAAAGAUUAGUGGUGCCAGGGGGUGGGAGGUGGGAGGGUGAUGAAGAGUGGAGCACAGGGGCUGUUUAGGGCAGUGAAACUACUCUGCAGGAUACUGUCUACACUUGUCAGAACCCAUAGAAUGUGCACCACCAACAGCGAAGGCUGUGGGGAGUUAUUGUUUAAUGGGCAACAGAGUUUCAGUUUGGGAGAUGGGUGGUGGUGAUAUUUGUACAACAGCAUGAAUGUACUUUUUUUUUUUUUGAGGAAGAUUAGCCCUGAGCUAACAUCCCCUGCCAAUCCUCCUCUUUUUCUGAGGAAGACUGGCCCUGAGCUAACAUCCAUGCCCAUCUUCCUCUACUUUAUACGUGGGACGCCUACCACAGCAUGGCUUGCCAAGCGGUGCCAUGUCCACACCCGGGAUCUGAACCGGUGAACGCCGGGCCGCUGAAGGGGAAAGUGCGAACUUAAUGGCUGUGCCACCAGGCUGGCCCCUAGCGUGAAUGUACUUAAUGCCGCUGAACUGCACACUUAAAAAUGACGAGAAAGCAGAGGCCGCAGAGAGGACCAACGACUUCCGAUCACAGCCCCUCCGCCUCAUGUGACCGGGCUUCAGGAACGCUGACGCACUUUGAGGACCGGCCGGAAUAACUUCCAAAGGGCGUAAGGAUGAAAGGGCUGACCCAGAAAGACAUUCCCCAAGCUGUCUUUCAGCUCUGUUGUUCUGUAGUUUUUAUCCUCCUACAAACCAGGAGCUGAGAGCACCAAGCCCUGUGUUUGAAGAAGCGUGCUUUCCAGACAUGAGGAAGCCCCUGAAGGAUCUUGGGCAAGAGAGUGACGUGAUCAAUCAUAGCUUUUAGAAGAGGGGCGGCCUGGAGGAUGGGCUCUGCUGUGGAGAGGAGGGCAUGCUCCAUGUGCAGGAGGUGGUUGAAGCCACGAGAGUGAAUGAGACCACCCAGGAGGGGACAGGGUGUGAAGCGAAGAGGGAGCCUGAGGGGACAGCAGCCUGGAGAGGAUGAUCCAGAAAGACAGAAAGAAAGUUAAAAUUACUUACGACCCCAUUUCCCGGAGAAAGACAUGGUUAAUAUUUUGCUGUGUAUUCCAGUGUGUUUUCAUCGAUGGGCACACGUGUUC
Molecule: long non-coding RNA, 1345 nt
Filed under: Equus asinus (donkey)
Lineage: Eukaryota; Metazoa; Chordata; Mammalia; Perissodactyla; Equidae
Description: lncRNA (ENSEASG00005033584.1)
Source: RNAcentral